AGUAGCAAUACUGUGGGUGGCGAGUGGCGGACGGGUGAGUAAUGCAUCGGGACCUACCUAGACGUGGGGGAUAACGUAGGGAAACUUACGCUAAUACCGCAUACGUCCUACGGGAGAAAGCGGGGGAUCUUCGGACCUCGCGCGGUUAGACGGACCGAUGUUCGAUUAGCUAGUUGGUAGGGUAAUGGCCUACCAAGGCGACGAUCGAUAGCUGGUCUGAGAGGAUGAUCAGCCACACUGGAACUGAGACACGGUCCAGACUCCUACGGGAGGCAGCAGUGGGGAAUAUUGGACAAUGGGCGCAAGCCUGAUCCAGCAAUGCCGCGUGUGUGAAGAAGGCCUUCGGGUUGUAAAGCACUUUUAUCAGGAGCGAAAUACUACUGGCUAAUAACCGGUGGGGCUGACGGUACCUGAGGAAUAAGCACCGGCUAACUUCGUGCCAGCAGCCGC
Molecule: ribosomal RNA, 450 nt
Filed under: Dyella sp. BSF1(28)
Lineage: Bacteria; Pseudomonadati; Pseudomonadota; Gammaproteobacteria; Lysobacterales; Rhodanobacteraceae
Description: bacterial SSU rRNA
Rfam family: Bacterial small subunit ribosomal RNA
Source: RNAcentral